RNAcentral lists this ribosomal RNA (506 nucleotides) under uncultured bacterium. Its description in RNAcentral is "partial 16S ribosomal RNA". It matches the Rfam family "Bacterial small subunit ribosomal RNA", at positions 29 to 523 of the family's 1533-position model. The record is from RNAcentral.
AGUGAACGCUGGCGGUAGGCCUAACACAUGCAAGUCGAACGGCAGCACAGGAGAGCUUGCUCUCUGGGUGGCGAGUGGCGGACGGGUGAGGAAUACAUCGGAAUCUACCUUUUCGUGGGGGAUAACGUAGGGAAACUUACGCUAAUACCGCAUACGACCUUCGGGUGAAAGCAGGGGACCUUUGGGCCUUGCGCGGAUAGAUGAGCCGAUGUCGGAUUAGCUAGUUGGCGGGGUAAAGGCCCACCAAGGCGACGAUCCGUAGCUGGUCUGAGAGGAUGAUCAGCCACACUGGAACUGAGACACGGUCCAGACUCCUACGGGAGGCAGCAGUGGGGAAUAUUGGACAAUGGGCGCAAGCCUGAUCCAGCCAUACCGCGUGGGUGAAGAAGGCCUUCGGGUUGUAAAGCCCUUUUGUUGGGAAAGAAAAGCAACCAGUUAAUACCUGGUUGUUCUGACGGUACCCAAAGAAUAAGCACCGGCUAACUUCGUGCCAGCCGCCGCGGUAA